Molecule: ribosomal RNA, 377 nt
Filed under: uncultured bacterium
Lineage: Bacteria
Description: bacterial SSU rRNA
Rfam family: Bacterial small subunit ribosomal RNA
Source: RNAcentral
UAAUACAGAGGGUGCGAGCGUUGUUCGGAAUUAUUGGGCGUAAAGCGCGCGUAGGCGGGAUGGCAAGUCGGGUGUGAAAGCCCUCAGCUCAACUGAGGAAGUGCGCCCGAAACUACUGUUCUUGAGUGUCGGAGAGGGUGGCGGAAUUCCCGGUGUAGAGGUGAAAUUCGUAGAUAUCGGGAGGAACACCAGAGGCGAAGGCGGCCACCUGGACGAACACUGACGCUGAGGCGCGAAAGCGUGGGGAGCAAACAGGAUUAGAUACCCUGGUAGUCCACGCCGUAAACGAUGAGUGCUAGCUGUAGCGGGUAUUGACCCCUGCUGUGGCGAAGCUAACGCAUUAAGCACUCCGCCUGGGAAGUACGGCCGCAAGGCUA